Long non-coding RNA from Perca fluviatilis (European perch), 372 nucleotides. RefSeq lists it as uncharacterized. The record is from RefSeq and is a predicted model, not a curated record. The transcript is spliced from 4 exons. Lineage: Eukaryota; Metazoa; Chordata; Actinopteri; Perciformes; Percidae.
CGGCUUCAGGUUUCUUCUGUUGGAUUUUCCCAUCCAUAGUCCAGCACCACAUGUGCUCAUGCUUUGUUAAAGUCCUCACCUCGCUGUCGUCAUGGAGAAGUGAACUCACUGAAAUCAGCAGCAAGAAAAUGAGACGUUCAUCCAGAAGAGAGUCAGCUUUUGCAACGCAACCUGGACACAUCGUCAGUGAUAGACCGGGGUCAUCAGGUGUUUAGGGUCUUAACAUCAGACACCCUCGCCCGGGAGACCCAUCCGGGGUGAUCAGGCCCCGACUUGUGUUCCAGGUUGAUAAAUAACUCCUUGUUGCCAGUGAUGGUGCUGGUGUAGCACUUGUAUCUUCCCUGGUCCUGAACCUCCACCCCUGUCAACCGG